RNAcentral lists this long non-coding RNA (1292 nucleotides) under Capra hircus (goat). RNAcentral's name for it is "lncRNA (ENSCHIG00000007295.1)". The record is from RNAcentral. Lineage: Eukaryota; Metazoa; Chordata; Mammalia; Artiodactyla; Bovidae.
CAUAAUGAAAGUGUAACUCUCUGCCUUCAUAUCCCCAUGUGCAUGCAUUCACCCAUAUAUCCAUCCAUCCAUCCACCUACCCACCUACCGACUCUUUCACCAGUGUUGGUUUACUGUUGGCCCAAGCCUACUGUCUACACUUACAGUGAGUUAUUUCCCAGGAGGCUUCUGGGAUGCAAAUAGACUCCUUGCAGACAACAUAACCCAUCCAUCCAACAUUUCCAAAUGUUUCUGAAUUCAGUAGAGAACACAGCCUAAUGCUGAAACUAGGAUCUUUAACAUCUGUCUGUAUGUCUUUCAGACGUUUGUAGGUGCCAGUUAAGAAUUCUCACCACUUUGAAAAAUGGUGGGAAUGGAAAUACUAUACGGGCUGCAUUUGAGAACCAGACUGCAAAGACAGAUCUGCUCUGCUACCUUUGUCUUCAGCUCCGAUCUACCUGGCAGCAAAGCUCAGGACUUUUUUUUUUUCCAGCUGCACCAAGCCAUACGUGGACCCUUAGUUCCUCAACCAGGAACUGAACCCACACCCUCUGCACUAGAAGCUCAGAGUCUUAACCACUGGACCACCAAGGAAGUCCUGCCCAGCACUUUUUGAGUUUCCGUAGAGUUAAGGGUCCAUUGUGGCUGAGGAGGAAAGCACAGUUCUAUACAGAAGGUAGAAGGUAGGACUGUCGCUCUCUCUGCCUAUGCGUAACCGGAAACGUAUUGUUUGACUUUCUAUAACUAAAAGUAACAGUCUCACUUCUUUAGGGCUUUCCUAUUAGUCAGAAGCAUACAAGACAGAGCAGACCUGGAUGUAAUUCCACCAUCACUAGCUUUGUAGCUUUGCCAAGUCAAUUCACUCAGUUUGCCCAUCUGUAAAUUGGAAACAAUGAUAUUCAUCUCCCAGAGUUUUUGUGAGAAGGAAAUGAGAUUGUGGAUUAUAAAGGGCUGGGCCUUUUGACUGGAUUAAGAAAUGCCUAGAAAAGCAAAUUUCCUUUGUUCCUACUUUUUAUGCCAGCUCCAUGUUACUGUUCACAGCUUUUUCACACUCAGUAAGGAAGACACUAGGAGAAGGCAAUGGCACCCCACUCCAGUACUCUUACCUGGAAAAUCCCAUGGACAGAGGAGCCUGGUAGGCUGCAGUCCAUGGGGUCACUAGGAGUCGGACACAACUAAGCGACUUUACUUUCACUUUUCACUUUCAUGCAUUGGAGAAGGAAAUGGCAACCCACUCCAGUACUCUUGCCUGGAGAAUCCCAGGGACGGGGGAACCUGUGGGCUGCCAACUAUGGGGUCGCACAGAGUCGGAC